AAAAAUAAGAUCAAAAAUUAAACUAGUUGCAGUAGCACGCUAUGUCUGGCUUGGAAGGGGCCAUACAGGCCCUACAGGGCUCGCCCACCCCCAAGGCCUUGGUGAAGGCCCUGAUCUGCAUUCGCCAUGAAGUGGACUGGCCCAAAAAGAGACAAAACGUUGUCCUGCUCAGAACUAAGGGCGCCCUGAAGCAAAUAGCUGCGAUUCUACUGGCCACCAACCAGAAAAGCUGCCUGGAUUUGGCGCUGAGCAUCCUGGGCAAUUGCAUGAUGGAGCGGGCAUGCACCAAUGAAUUAGUGACCCAACACGGCAUCCUGUCCAUCCUGAGCCAGCUGCUGAAACGACACGCGAACCAGGACAGUAUCAAUGGAAGGACGUUCCGAAUAGUCGGAAAUAUGUGCCAUCAUCGAGACCAAUGGGCUACGCUCAUGAUUAAUAAAAAGCCCACAAUAGUUUCGCAUAUAGUGAAAGUAGUGCAGGCCGCCUCCAAAGACCAGCUGCCUGAUGGGGAGAAAAUCAGCGAAGCCACCCUGGUGACGGCGCUGAGGGCGCUAAGAGAACUUCAAAACAGCAACACCGUGAAAUGUUUGGUGAAGCAAUUCGGGGCUCUCAAGGCUGUGGGCUCCCUUUUCAUCAAGUACAGCGAGCGAUGGCAGGCGUGCAAGGAAAACGAAAAAACACUGCUGGACAUCAUCCGGGUGAUCCACGAGUAUUCGCGAUUUAGAAACUACGAUUCUAUUCUAGAGUUGAGAAGUACCGAUAGAGGCGACUCGCUGGUGCAUUUGAGCAGCAUCCUGAUUCUGGACCCGCGCAAGAUCGUGAAAAUCGUGAUGAACUUUAUCAAAAGCUGUCAGUUGCAGUCCGAGCUGCCCAUUCCCGAAAUCUGCACCAAAUUUAUCGAAGUUCUAGAGGAGCAUUCCAUUGUGAAGGAGUUUCAGGGCCAGUGCACCGAGUAUUUGCAAUGUCUUUGUUACCUCCUCGACCAUCCAGCCAACCGCAGCCUGGAAAGGUGCGGCCGAGCCAUUCCGUUGCUCAUCAAGGUUCUGAGCGAUUUCGACGAGGCUUCCAAUAACAUUGUGAACUGUUGCAUCAUUCUCAUCCACACUUUGAACAAGUUCAGGUACGAUGAUAAACUGAUUGCUGAGCAGCUGGCCAAUGACAUCAUUCCGGUGCUGGUUGGGAAGCUGGCGUGGCUUGUUGGGCCUCCUGAUGUGGUCAACUUCAAGCACCUCAGCGAGAAGAGGCGCAAAUACACAUUUUCCAAUUCGAGCAUUGUCAAGAAACGGCUGCGUUAUCCUGAUACCUUGAAAGAAUGCGGCAGCAGCCCAAAUUCCAGCGACGAUGAACUGGAAUUUUACCGGAGCUGCAUGAGAAGUCCCAGUCCCGGAUCCAGCUCGGACAGCGACAGCGGAAACGCGCUGUCCUGGAGCGAAGGCGGCAUCAGCCCGAAUCGCUCCCUAGCUCACGAGUCGGACUCAGACGAUUAUUCGCCGGUCUGCAGUGAGGUGGACGAGGCGGAUUUUGGAGCACACGACCACGAUUUCCAGGACUUUGGCGAGCUGGACGAAGUCAAUCCGGCGGUGGAGGAGGCUGGAGAUGCCGCAUCUGAGGACAGCAGGUCGAACGUGCGCCGCUCCCUCCAAGUGUCACUCUGCCAUGAAAUCGUCGCCCUCAUCAGGUCCUACCUCAAAGUGCAGCCCCAUCACCCUCAUCUGGCCAAAGUGGAGCUGGUGAUGCAGCUGACCAAAUGCGCCAUCAAUGAACAGUUCGACGUCAAAGACGUAAUCUGUGAGAUUGUCAAGUGUGGGGAACAUUUGAUAUCCCUGAUGCAGACCAACUACAUCCACACGCUGAACGACAUGCGGAACAUCCCGGCCAAUCACGAGACCUGCUCCCGGUGUCUGUUCAACGCCCAUUUCACCUAUCGCAUUCUGAAGAGUUUCAGCGAAACAGCGGAGUCGGGAGCUGGCAAAGGCGACAUCGCCCAUAAGUUGAUGCGAGGCGACUGGAAGGUCAAGCAGAGCUUGGUGCUGGUGAUUCCCUACAUCAUAGCGAAUAGGUCAAUCCUGGGAAAACUGAUGCUGAACUGCGGCGGCUUGGACGUGCUGAUGAAGCUGCUGCAGGAAAACGACGGUCAAGACAAUCGGCGCAGCCUGAAAGUGCUGGUUCAAAUGGCCCACAGUGUCCUGAUCAACAACCCGAAGUCGCUCUCUGUCCGCACUAUGGGCUGGCCCAAGCUGGCCAUUGGCGAGUAUGAGCUGGCGGAAACUUGCAGCAACGUGGUGUCGUUCCGAUUGGAUGACGGCUGCCUUAUCCCAUCCGACCGCGACUUUCUAGUCAAGCAAUCCGACUUCUUCAAAGGCCUCCUGGAUGGACACUUCAAGGAGAGCGAACAGGCUGAAGUGGCGCUAGCCGAAGUGGAGUCCAAGAGCUUCAAGUGUCUGCUCUUUAUCAUACAGGCGAUCGAGCUGCAGAAGCCAUCCAAAAACAUUGAAAUUGUUCUGGAUCUGGACACUUUGCUUGAUCUUAUCUCGCUAUGCGACCGCUUUCUACUGAGCGAUUUGUGCUUGAUCAUCACAGACACAGUGCAACAGUUUCAUAUUGCGGUGGACACAGUGCCGCUCAUCUACAACUGGAGCGUGGAAUCUGGCACCAACUUGUUGCGGAUCGAAAGCGUGGCUUUCGCCCUAGUGGCCUCAGUCGAUGAUCGUGAACGUUACGCGAUGAUUCAGAAGCUGUUCGCUUUGGGGUACAAGAAGCAGCUGCUGGGCGAUAUCGAUACGUUGCUCAGACGCUAUCUGAGCAUCAGCGACUACAGCCCGCUGCGAAAGUCUCAUGCCAUCAAGCGCGACGCUAUGAGAGAGAUGAAAGAAAGUCUGUUGAAAUAUAGGCAUUGAUCUAUGUUCGCGUGGUUUUAAUGAAUUCCCUGAAACAUAAAGACCGUCAUUGGCACCAGUUAUUAAGCUGGGAGCGCGGCCUUUAUCGGCGCCAAUCCAGAAGUGGCGGGCGGUUGCAAGUUUCCAGGCUCGCCCGCCCACUCGUCCGUGGAGUUUUCCGACGAAACUCUCGGCCCCGCCACCAUUGCGACCUACUCGUGCGAGCGCGGCUUUGAGCUGCUGGGGCCCAGCAGGAGAGUGUGCGAGAACGGCGCCUGGUUACCCGAAGGGAUCCCGUUUUGCGGUAAGUACAGUACUAAG
Molecule: RNA transcript, 3197 nt
Organism: Dendroctonus ponderosae (mountain pine beetle)
Lineage: Eukaryota; Metazoa; Arthropoda; Insecta; Coleoptera; Curculionidae
Exons: 12
Source: RefSeq, a predicted model, not a curated record